UGGGGAAUAUUGGACAAUGGGCGCAAGCCUGAUCCAGCCAUGCCGCGUGGGUGAAGAAGGCCCUAGGGUUGUAAACCCCUUUCAGCGGGGAAGAUAAUGACGGUACCCGCAGAAGAAGCCCCGGCUAACUCCGUGCCAGCAGCCGCGGUAAUACGGAGGGGGCUAGCGUUGUUCGGAAUUACUGGGCGUAAAGCGCGCGUAGGCGGAUUCGCAAGUCAGGGGUGAAAUCCCGAGGCUCAACCUCGGAACUGCCUUUGAUACUGCGGAUCUCGAGUCCGAGAGAGGUGAGUGGAAUUCCUAGUGUAGAGGUGAAAUUCGUAGAUAUUAGGAAGAACACCAGUGGCGAAGGCGGCUCACUGGCUCGGUACUGACGCUGAGGCGCGAAAGCGUGGGGAGCAAACAGGAUUAGAUACCCCCGUAGUCC
This 424-nucleotide ribosomal RNA is filed under the name uncultured prokaryote. RNAcentral describes it as "bacterial SSU rRNA". It matches the Rfam family "Bacterial small subunit ribosomal RNA", at positions 355 to 796 of the family's 1533-position model. The record is from RNAcentral.